ACAUUAUUUUAUUUGGUCAUUUCCAAGCAUUAUUCAUUGGAGACAAAGAUCAUUUUCUCCCUCCCCCCACCUCUCCCACAGCCACGAGCAAUUCCACUGGGUAUCACAAGUGUUCUUGAUUCGAACCCAUUUCCAUGUUGUUGGUAUUUGCAUUAGAGUGUUCAUUUAGAGUCUCUCCUCAGUCAUAUCCCCUCCACCCCUGUAGUCAAGCAGUUGCUUUUCCUCGGUGUUUUUACUCCCAUAGUUUAUCCUCUGCUUGUGGAUAGUAUUUUUUAGAUCCCUGCAGAUUGUUCAGGGACAUUGCAUUGACACUAAUGGAGAAGUCCAUUACCUUCGAUUGUACCACAAUGUAUUAGUCUCUGUGUACAAUGUUCUCCUGGUUCUGCUCCUCUCACUCUGCAUCACUUCCUGGAGGUUGUUCCAGUCUCCAUGGAAUUCCUCCACUUUAUUAUUCCUUUUAGCACAAUAGUAUUCCAUCACCAACAUAUACCACAAUUUGCUCAGCCAUUCCCCAAUUGAUGGGCAUCCCCUCGUUUUCCAAUUUUUGGCCACCACAAAGAGCGCAGCUAUGAAUAUUCUUGUAUAUAUUUUUUUCCUUAUUGUCUCUUUAGAGUACAAACCCAGCAGUGCUAUAGCUGGAUCAAAGGACAGACAGUCUUUUAUCACCCUUUGGGCAUAGUUCCAAAUUGCCCUCCAGAAUGGUUGGAUCAGUUCACAGCUCCACCAGCAAUGAAUUAAUGUCCCUAUUUUGCCACAUCCCCUCCAGCAUUCAUUACUUUCCUUUGCUGUUAUGUUAGCCAAUCUGCUAGGUGUGAGGUGAUACCUCAGAGUUGUUUUGAUUUGCAUCUCUCUGAUUAUAAGAGAUUUAGAACACUUCUUCAUGUGCCUAUUGAUAGUUUUGAUUUCUUUAUCUGAAAACUGCCUAUGCAUGAAAAGAGAAACACUUCUUUUUUUUUUUUUUUUUUUUUUUGUUUUUUUUUUUUUAUUUUUUUUUAAUUUUAUAGUAUUUUAUUUGAUCAUUUCCAUGCAUUUUUCAUUUAAAGACAAAGAUCAUUUUCUUUUCCUCCCUCCCACCCCCUGUGGCCGACGCGUGAUUCCACUGGUAUCAUAUGUGUUCUUGACUUGAACCCAUUGCCAUGUUGUUAGUAUUUGCAUCAGAGUGUUCGCUCAGAGUCUUUCCUCUGUCAUGUCCCCUCAGCCAUUGUAGUCAGGCAGUUGCUUUUCCUUGGUGUUUCUACUCCCUCAGUUUGUCCUCUGCUUAUGGAUAGUGUUUUUUUCUCCUUGAUCCCUGCAGAUUGUGCAGGGACAUUACACUGCCACUAAUGGAAAAGUCCAUUAUGUUCGAUUUUACCACAGUGUGUUUGUCUCUGUGUACAAUGUUCUCCUGGUUCUGCUCCUCUCGCUCUGCAUCACUUCCUGGAGGUUGUUCCAGUCUCCAUGGAACUUCUCCACUUUAUUAUUCCUUUUAGCACAAUAGUACUCCAUCACCAACAUAUACCACAAUUUGUUCAGCCAUUCCCCAAUUGAUGGGCAUCCCCUUGUUUUCCAAUUUUUGGCCACCACAAAGAGCGCAGCUAUGAAUAUUUUUGUACAGCUUCCCAUAAUUUUUUUAAAAAAUUAGUGGCAUCAUUUUUAUAUUCUCAAGCUUUUGGGGCAUGCAUUAGCAUUAAGCAAAUGCAUUUUAAACUUACAGUACUGCUAAAUCAAAAAAGUUAAAGAAAAUCUUAAUACUGGUGACAUGUUCUUCAAAUAUAAAAAGGAGAUAAAAAAUAAAAAAUUGAAAUAGUAUAUUGCA
Molecule: long non-coding RNA, 1795 nt
Organism: Monodelphis domestica (gray short-tailed opossum)
Lineage: Eukaryota; Metazoa; Chordata; Mammalia; Didelphimorphia; Didelphidae
Source: Ensembl